Molecule: ribosomal RNA, 552 nt
Filed under: uncultured Glomeromycotina
Lineage: Eukaryota; Fungi; Glomeromycota
Description: SSU rRNA
Rfam family: Eukaryotic small subunit ribosomal RNA
Source: RNAcentral
UUGGAGGGCAAGUCUGGUGCCAGCAGCCGCGGUAAUUCCAGCUCCAAUAGCGUAUAUUAAAGUUGUUGCAGUUAAAAAGCUCGUAGUUGAAUUUCGGGGUCAGUAGGUUGGUCGUGCCAAUGGUACGUACUGGCUUCACUGAUUCCUCCUUCUUGUAGAACUGUGAUGUCAUUAAUUUGGUUGUUGCAGGGAAACAGGACUGUUACUUUGAAAAAAUUAGAGUGUUUAAAGCAGGCUAACGCUUGAAUACAUUAGCAUGGAAUAAUGAAAUAGGACGUUUCGAUUCUAUUUUGUUGGUUUCUAGGAUUGACGUAAUGAUUAAUAGGGAUAGUUGGGGGCAUUAGUAUUCAAUUGUCAGAGGUGAAAUUCUUGGAUUUAUUGAAGACUAACUACUGCGAAAGCAUUUGCCAAGGAUGUUUUCAUUAAUCAAGAACGAAAGUUAGGGGAUCGAAGACGAUCAGAUACCGUCGUAGUCUUAACCAUAAACUAUGCCGACUAGGGAUCGGAUGAUGUUAAUUUUUUUAAUGACUCAUUCGGCGCCUUACGGGAAAC